RNAcentral lists this RNase P RNA (227 nucleotides) under Muribaculaceae bacterium. Its description in RNAcentral is "partial RNase P RNA component class A". It matches the Rfam family "Bacterial RNase P class A", at positions 141 to 367 of the family's 367-position model. From Rfam's summary of the family: Ribonuclease P (RNase P) is a ubiquitous endoribonuclease, found in archaea, bacteria and eukarya as well as chloroplasts and mitochondria. Its best characterised activity is the generation of mature 5'-ends of tRNAs by cleaving the 5'-leader elements of precursor-tRNAs. Lineage: Bacteria; Pseudomonadati; Bacteroidota; Bacteroidia; Bacteroidales; Muribaculaceae. The record is from RNAcentral.
GGAUGAGGUAAGGGUGAAAAGGCGGGGUAAGAGCCCACCGGUCUUUAUGGCGACAUGAGGAGCCGCACAUCCUGCGGGUUGCAAGGCCAAAUACACCGGCAAUUAAGGAUUGCCCGUCCAGUGCCGGGGGGUAGGCUGCUUCAGCCCUCGGGCAACCGUGCGGCGUAGAUAAAUGACAGACACCCUCCCUGAGGGUACAUAACCCGGCUUAUAACGCUUCUGUUUUU